GGCCGGCGAACGGCUCGGAUUCCUGCCCGGUGACAUGCGCGAGAAGGUCGACCCUUAUUUGAGGCCGAUCUACGACGCGCUGUACGACCUGAUGGAUUCGCGCAUCGUCGAGCGCGGCUUGCAAAGCGGCGAGAUCGAAAUCGCGCCGCUGGCCUUCAUGCGCGGCCGCACCCUGACCAAUGCGGCCAUCAUUCUGGACGAGGCGCAGAACACUACGUCGAUGCAGAUGAAGAUGUUCCUGACGCGNNNNNNUCAUUACCGGCGAUCCGAGCCAGGUCGAUCUGCCCAAUGGCCAGCCGUCGGGGCUGGC
RNAcentral lists this unclassified non-coding RNA (310 nucleotides) under Hevea brasiliensis (rubber tree). Lineage: Eukaryota; Viridiplantae; Streptophyta; Magnoliopsida; Malpighiales; Euphorbiaceae. The record is from RNAcentral.